This 315-nucleotide unclassified non-coding RNA is filed under the name Zanthoxylum beecheyanum. Its description in RNAcentral is "partial external transcribed spacer". The record is from RNAcentral. Lineage: Eukaryota; Viridiplantae; Streptophyta; Magnoliopsida; Sapindales; Rutaceae.
UGUUGCUUACCCGCGGAAAGGAAUUUGAUGGUUUUGGUGUCCCCAUCCGCCUUGUGCCCUUCGGGGUGCGGGGUGGACGCGAGGCGUGCUCCGUGUUCCUCGCGUGUCGAGUGUGUUGACGCUUGACCGUUGUGGCCCAUGGGGUCUCGACCCGUGCUCUCGGAUGCGGAAUGUUGUGUGUGGGCGUGGGGUCUCGGCCUCUUCUCGUCCAAGCUACACGCAGUGUCCCUUAACAUGAACGACCGCCGCGCCCGUCUUGAUCGACCGACCGAGCCCCUGUUGCGGGUUUUUGGGAGGACGGCUCAUGCGGGUGUC